CAUUCUUUUUCAACCUGAGUCAGGUAGUCCCACCGUGUGUUUUCUGCUUUCUUUCUACAUAAGAUAAGAACAGUAUCUGUCUUGACCUGGAAGAAGAGCAGAGUAAGUACAACUUAGAACACACGGAGGUAAAUAAGCAUGAUUAUAUGGAAAACAUUUACUCAGUCAAGUUACUAUUAUGUGUAGGACCUGUCUUGGGUUGUAGUAGUACAUUUACAAAUAGGACUCAUGAAAGAGAAAGAGCAUAAACAAGUAAAAUUCAAAUAUAUUGAAGAUAAAAAGGGGUUAAUGGGGUUUGGAAGAAGAACUUUAUUAGGAAAGGCCUCUGAGGUGAAACCUGAGCUGUGGCCCAAGAUCCAGAAGGGCACAGCAAGGAGUAAGGCUAUCAAAGGCUAUAAAAUGGGAUAAUUUUGGUGUCUAAUUAAAAAAAAAGUGUGGUGGGAAUUUGGUGACUGAAGGAAGAGAAUAAUACAGUAAGAGUGAUCAGAGACAGGCACAAAUAAAAAUAAUAUACAACUCUUUCAACAAUGAUCCAUAUAAUUCCUAGGAUUCUUUUGAGUAUUUGUUCAACUCUGGGAUUGAUGGAUAAAGGAGGAGCAGUGAGACACAAGCUAAUUCAUGUUACAUUCCAAUACUGCCUUUAAACUGCUACGGAACAAUGUAAACACAGAUGGCAGAAUGGUACAACGGCACAUCUAUGCAUAGAUGCAUUAAACCUCACUGAAGUAGAAAGGAGAUUAUCUGAGUUAGUGAAAAGUGUGAACGGUAGUUUAAAAAGCCAUUUAUUUUUAUAGGUUUUACUACUUCUACUUAGGCUAAGUGCUUAAUUAAAUCCCUUUAUGUUAUCAAAAAUUCAGAUAGUUUUCUGAGAACAGCUACCAUUAAUUUAAGUACUUUAUACAUAUUCCCUUUCAGUAUAUAAUUUCAACUUUGUAAAAUUAACUAUUUCCAUUGUACAAAUGAGGAAACUGAGGCUCAGAAUGCUUAAGUGAGCUGCUAAAAAGUCACAACUAGUAAGUGACAAAAAUGACAUGAAAACUCAAGUCUCUUAACCAAUUUUGAAAGUUUAUUCCCUUCUUGAUUCUAAUGCAAUAUUUUUAUAAUAAUCUAUUCUUCUAAAGACAGGAGUUGAAAUAGAGCCAGACAGUUAUUUUAGGUUUCUCUCACACAGCUACUUAAUUCUGGCAUUACAGCGCAAUCAAAGGCAAAGACAACACAAAAAAUGAGCCCUGGCAUUGUUCCAGUAAUACAGCCAUCAGACUACAGUUUGCUGAUCCCUGUUACAGAGGAUAAAUUCUAGUUCCUCUCAAUUCUAAAUCAACCAGGUUCAACUUAAUGAAGUUUCACAACAUAAUGACAAAAAAAAGCAAACUUACUUUUUUUGAACUGCCUUCCACAGAGAUGGGUUUUAAAAGAUUGUUCACAAUCAUGGAGUAACUCUUCCCAUUUAGAUUCUUUACCAAAAGAUCAAAUGACCUAUAAUACAAUAGUGAAUACAUUAUCCCUGGCUCUAUAAGACAUGCUCUAUAACUCUUGUGGAAAAAAGCCACAAGUUUUAUUUUAGGAUGUUCAAUUGGCCAUCCCUGGUGGUAAGAUUAGGCUCUUCAAAGCAGGUGUAAAGAAGAACUCUAAAUUUAAGCAGUUUUAGAAACUGCAAAGAAAAGAACCAGUAAUAAAGCAACCUCUAACUUGGUGAUCACUAUUUCUCAUCGCGAGAACUCACCUCUCUGUGAAGUGCACCUGCACGUUCUCAGUGGGGACUUGAUGAACUCCAGUUAAGGUAAUGUAGAUUUUCACGAACUUAUCUGACUGAUCCCAUCCUAGUAACAAAAAAGGGACAUGAAUAAAGUCUCAUACUAUCUCUAGAACAGCAAAUGCAUAUUGCUCCUGAACCUGGAGACAGCUAAAUUCUAGUAAUAGAAACAUGGGAAAAAUUAAAAUACAAGCAACUUUCUAGAUGGAGAAAUUGAGCUUCAGAGCAGUUAUAUAAUCUAUCCAAAGUUAGGUAUCUAGCUUGUGGUAGAACUUCAAUUCAAACCCA
Molecule: long non-coding RNA, 2041 nt
Organism: Lutra lutra (Eurasian river otter)
Lineage: Eukaryota; Metazoa; Chordata; Mammalia; Carnivora; Mustelidae
Exons: 2
Source: RefSeq, a predicted model, not a curated record